UAGGGAAUCUUCGGCAAUGGACGAAAGUCUGACCGAGCAACGCCGCGUGAGUGAAGAAGGUUUUCGGAUCGUAAAACUCUGUUGUUAGAGAAGAACAAGGACGUUAGUAACUGAACGUCCCCUGACGGUAUCUAACCAGAAAGCCACGGCUAACUACGUGCCAGCAGCCGCGGUAAUACGUAGGUGGCAAGCGUUGUCCGGAUUUAUUGGGCGUAAAGCGAGCGCAGGCGGUUUCUUAAGUCUGAUGUGAAAGCCCCGGCUCAACCGGGGAGGGUCAUUGGAAACUGGGAGACUUGAGUGCAGAAGAGGAGAGUGGAAUUCCAUGUGUAGCGGUGAAAUGCGUAGAUAUAUGGAGGAAAACCAGUGGCGAAGGCGGCUCUCUGGUCUGUAACUGACGCUGAGGCUCGAAAGCGUGGGGAGCAAACAGG
RNAcentral lists this ribosomal RNA (428 nucleotides) under Gemmatimonadota bacterium. RNAcentral describes it as "Gemmatimonadetes bacterium partial 16S ribosomal RNA". It matches the Rfam family "Bacterial small subunit ribosomal RNA", at positions 355 to 776 of the family's 1533-position model. Lineage: Bacteria; Pseudomonadati; Gemmatimonadota. The record is from RNAcentral.